RNAcentral lists this ribosomal RNA (2165 nucleotides) under Salmonella enterica subsp. enterica serovar Enteritidis. Its description in RNAcentral is "partial 23S ribosomal RNA". It matches the Rfam family "Bacterial large subunit ribosomal RNA", at positions 657 to 2803 of the family's 2925-position model. Lineage: Bacteria; Pseudomonadati; Pseudomonadota; Gammaproteobacteria; Enterobacterales; Enterobacteriaceae. The record is from RNAcentral.
AUAGGGGAGCCGGAGGGAAACCGAGUCUUAAUUGGGCGUUAAGUUGCAGGGUAUAGACCCGAAACCCGGUGAUCUAGCCAUGGGCAGGUUGAAGGUUGGGUAACACUAACUGGAGGACCGAACCGACUAAUGUUGAAAAAUUAGCGGAUGACCUGUGGCUGGGGGUGAAAGGCCAAUCAAACCGGGAGAUAGCUGGUUCUCCCCGAAAGCUAUUUAGGUAGCGCCUCGUGAAUUCAUCUCCGGGGGUAGAGCACUGUUUCGGCUAGGGGGCCAUCCCGGCUUACCAACCCGAUGCAAACUGCGAAUACCGGAGAAUGUUAUCACGGGAGACACACGGCGGGUGCUAACGUCCGUCGUGAAGAGGGAAACAACCCAGACCGCCAGCUAAGGUCCCAAAGUCAUGGUUAAGUGGGAAACGAUGUGGGAAGGCCCAGACAGCCAGGAUGUUGGCUUAGAAGCAGCCAUCAUUUAAAGAAAGCGUAAUAGCUCACUGGUCGAGUCGGCCUGCGCGGAAGAUGUAACGGGGCUAAACCAUGCACCGAAGCUGCGGCAGCGACACUGUGUGUUGUUGGGUAGGGGAGCGUUCUGUAAGCCUGCGAAGGUGGCCUGUGAGGGUUGCUGGAGGUAUCAGAAGUGCGAAUGCUGACAUAAGUAACGAUAAAGCGGGUGAAAAGCCCGCUCGCCGGAAGACCAAGGGUUCCUGUCCAACGUUAAUCGGGGCAGGGUGAGUCGACCCCUAAGGCGAGGCCGAAAGGCGUAGUCGAUGGGAAACGGGUUAAUAUUCCCGUACUUGGUGUUACUGCGAAGGGGGGACGGAGAAGGCUAUGUUGGCCGGGCGACGGUUGUCCCGGUUUAAGCGUGUAGGUGUGUGUUCCAGGUAAAUCCGGUUCACUUUAACACUGAGGCGUGACGACGAGGCACUACGGUGCUGAAGCAACAAAUGCCCUGCUUCCAGGAAAAGCCUCUAAGCAUCAGGUAACAUCAAAUCGUACCCCAAACCGACACAGGUGGUCAGGUAGAGAAUACCAAGGCGCUUGAGAGAACUCGGGUGAAGGAACUAGGCAAAAUGGUGCCGUAACUUCGGGAGAAGGCACGCUGACACGUAGGUGAAGUGAUUUACUCAUGGAGCUGAAGUCAGUCGAAGAUACCAGCUGGCUGCAACUGUUUAUUAAAAACACAGCACUGUGCAAACACGAAAGUGGACGUAUACGGUGUGACGCCUGCCCGGUGCCGGAAGGUUAAUUGAUGGGGUCAGCGCAAGCGAAGCUCCUGAUCGAAGCCCCGGUAAACGGCGGCCGUAACUAUAACGGUCCUAAGGUAGCGAAAUUCCUUGUCGGGUAAGUUCCGACCUGCACGAAUGGCGUAAUGAUGGCCAGGCUGUCUCCACCCGAGACUCAGUGAAAUUGAACUCGCUGUGAAGAUGCAGUGUACCCGCGGCAAGACGGAAAGACCCCGUGAACCUUUACUAUAGCUUGACACUGAACAUUGAGCCUUGAUGUGUAGGAUAGGUGGGAGGCUUUGAAGUGUGGACGCCAGUCUGCAUGGAGCCGACCUUGAAAUACCACCCUUUAAUGUUUGAUGUUCUAACGUGGACCCGUUACCCGGGUUGCGGACAGUGUCUGGUGGGUAGUUUGACUGGGGCGGUCUCCUCCUAAAGAGUAACGGAGGAGCACGAAGGUUGGCUAAUCCUGGUCGGACAUCAGGAGGUUAGUGCAAUGGCAUAAGCCAGCUUGACUGCGAGCGUGACGGCGCGAGCAGGUGCGAAAGCAGGUCAUAGUGAUCCGGUGGUUCUGAAUGGAAGGGCCAUCGCUCAACGGAUAAAAGGUACUCCGGGGAUAACAGGCUGAUACCGCCCAAGAGUUCAUAUCGACGGCGGUGUUUGGCACCUCGAUGUCGGCUCAUCACAUCCUGGGGCUGAAGUAGGUCCCAAGGGUAUGGCUGUUCGCCAUUUAAAGUGGUACGCGAGCUGGGUUUAGAACGUCGUGAGACAGUUCGGUCCCUAUCUGCCGUGGGCGCUGGAGAACUGAGGGGGGCUGCUCCUAGUACGAGAGGACCGGAGUGGACGCAUCACUGGUGUUCGGGUUGUCAUGCCAAUGGCACUGCCCGGUAGCUAAAUGCGGAAGAGAUAAGUGCUGAAAGCAUCUAAGCACGAAACUUGCCCCGAG